RNAcentral lists this ribosomal RNA (504 nucleotides) under uncultured bacterium. RNAcentral describes it as "bacterial SSU rRNA". It matches the Rfam family "Bacterial small subunit ribosomal RNA", at positions 107 to 607 of the family's 1533-position model. The record is from RNAcentral.
UGAGUAAUGUCUGGGAAACUGCCUGAUGGAGGGGGAUAACUACUGGAAACGGUAGCUAAUACCGCAUAACGUCGCAAGACCAAAGAGGGGGACCUUCGGGCCUCUUGCCAUCAGAUGUGCCCAGAUGGGAUUAGCUAGUAGGUGGGGUAAUGGCUCACCUAGGCGACGAUCCCUAGCUGGUCUGAGAGGAUGACCAGCCACACUGGAACUGAGACACGGUCCAGACUCCUACGGGAGGCAGCAGUGGGGAAUAUUGCACAAUGGGCGCAAGCCUGAUGCAGCCAUGCCGCGUGUGUGAAGAAGGCCUUCGGGUUGUAAAGCACUUUCAGCGAGGAGGAAGGUGGUGAACUUAAUACGUUCAUCAAUUGACGUUACUCGCAGAAGAAGCACCGGCUAACUCCCGUCCACAGCAGCCGCGGUAAUACGGAGGGUGCAAGCGUUAAUCGGAAUUACUGGGCGUAAAGCGCACGCAGCGGUUGUUAAGUCAGAUGUGAAAUCCCCCGG